ACGGAAGGCAGCAGUGAGGAAUAUUGGUCAAUGGACGAGAGUCUGAACUAGCCAAGUCGCGUGAAGGAAGAAGGUUCUAUGGAUUGUAAACUUCUUUUGCCAGAGGGUAAAGUGGCGGACGUGUCCGCUAUUGCAAGUAUCUGGUGAAUAAGCAUCGGCUAACUCCGUGCCAGCAGCCGCGGUAAUACGGAGGAUGCGAGCGUUAUCCGGAUUUAUUGGGUUUAAAGGGUGCGUAGGCGGGAUGUUAAGUCAGCGGUGAAAGCGUGUAGCUCAACUAUACCAAGCCGUUGAAACUGGCGUCCUUGAGUGUAAACGAGGUAGGCGGAAUGUGAUGUGUAGCGGUGAAAUGCUUAGAUAUGUCACAGAACCCCGAUUGCGAAGGCAGCUUACCAGCAUACAACUGACGCUGAGGCACGAAAGCGUGGGUAUCAAACAGGAUUAGAUACCCUGGUA
RNAcentral lists this ribosomal RNA (453 nucleotides) under uncultured Porphyromonadaceae bacterium. RNAcentral's name for it is "partial 16S ribosomal RNA". It matches the Rfam family "Bacterial small subunit ribosomal RNA", at positions 341 to 792 of the family's 1533-position model. Lineage: Bacteria; Pseudomonadati; Bacteroidota; Bacteroidia; Bacteroidales; Porphyromonadaceae. The record is from RNAcentral.